CGGGGCGGCGGGGGCUGCGGGCAGUCGGGGGGCGUGCAGCGAGCCUAAGGUCUGAGAGCCUCUUAGGACAGGAGGAAACGGCCUCGAGUUGUGCCAGGGGAGAUCCAAUGGAAAGAGCAAACAACAGCGUGGCACAGACUGUGAAAGCAUGGUGCCAGAAAGAAGUGAGCUGAACUGGGUUGCUGCAGCACCAGAGGGGCUGCUGAGUGAGACCUCCAUUAGGAGAUCGGCGGCAUCAAUGUCUGGUCAGCCUUUGUGUCAGCAUUGUAGGGACCGCUUCAUUCAGUUUAUUGAGAGUUCUUACCAGAAACCACCUUUUGUGAAUGAGUAAAGCACGCACAUGGAGCAGCUGCAGAUUCCAACCCAAGCAUCAGUACCCUCCAGUAAUUUCUUUUAUCCUGAAGGAGAACUGUUGCCUUCUGCCAGUGAGGUUCCCGGAGUUCAGCUACAUUGUCUCCAGUUGUCUACACAGUGUCUGCCCACUAUUUCUCUGUAUCCAGCCUCACUGAGCAUCAUGCGGAACUCGGGUUUGAACUCCUGCUUAAUGUUUAACUUGUAACGCUUCGUGGCGGCACUCAGCGGAAAGCUGGCAGUGGUGUGAGCCAGCAGCGAGCUGCGAGCUGUGCCAUCUGCUGUGUGGUGGCUGCAACUGCCUCUGUGUGCAGCGUGAACUGCUCCGGAGGUAAGAGCCGAUUCACGAGCGUUACCACCUCCUGCGUUCAGAAUGAGUUAUUUACACAGCGGUAGGCUUGGACAUUUCUGUGUAAUACACGUGUCUGUGUGGUGUCUCCGGACAGAAUGAAGAUGACAUUUUGUUUUGUGCAGAAGUUCAGACUUAAGACCAAAAAUAAAG
Gallus gallus (chicken) is the source of this 853-nucleotide long non-coding RNA. NCBI's taxonomy places the organism in Eukaryota, Metazoa, Chordata, Aves, Galliformes, Phasianidae. The record is from Ensembl.